AGAGUUUGAUUCUGGCUCAGGAUGAACGCUAGCUACAGGCUUAACACAUGCAAGUCGAGGGGCAGCAUUGGAGUAGCAAUACUCAGAUGGCGACCGGCGCACGGGUGAGUAACACGUAUCCAACCUGCCGCUUACUCGGGGAUAGCCUUUCGAAAGAAAGAUUAAUACCCGAUGGUAUAAAGAGUUCGCAUGUUCUCUUUAUUAAAGAAUUUCGGUAAGCGAUGGGGAUGCGUUCCAUUAGAUUGUUGGCGGGGUAACGGCCCACCAAGUCUACGAUGGAUAGGGGUUCUGAGAGGAAGGUCCCCCCACAUUGGAACUGAGACACGGUCCAAACUCCUACGGGAGGCAGCAGUGAGGAAUAUUGGUCAAUGGACGAGAGUCUGAACCAGCCAAGUAGCGUGAAGGAUGACUGCCCUAUGGGUUGUAAACUUCUUUUAUAAGGGAAUAAAGUGAGGGACGUGUCCCUUUUUGUAUGUACCUUAUGAAUAAGGAUCGGCUAACUCCGUGCCAGCAGCUGC
RNAcentral lists this ribosomal RNA (518 nucleotides) under uncultured bacterium. RNAcentral's name for it is "bacterial SSU rRNA". It matches the Rfam family "Bacterial small subunit ribosomal RNA", at positions 8 to 518 of the family's 1533-position model. The record is from RNAcentral.